UCAACCUCGCCCAUAUCAAUGACUCAGAUUAUCGUAUUUAUUUGAUCGGUAAACAGACUUAUCGGUGCAAUUUUCUAAUACUAAAUGGGUCAUUAUUAUAAUUAUUGUCAUUAUAACAAUAAAGAGCACCUAAUUUUGAUUAUGUUUUCUAUAAAAAGCAAAGAAAAAAAACCUUGGAUAUAGUCAGGAAGCUUGUAGUAUUGAAGAAGACAAAAAGAAUUAACUGACAAAAUGCAUUCCAAAAAAACAACUUUGCUAAAUUUUGUGUUGGCGGUUGUGAUUUGGGCUUCUGUCUUUUAUGUGGCUUCUGCACGUGCAUCAAAAAGGUCAUCGGUCGACUAAUUCUAACAUUUCAACAAAAGUUGAAAUGUACUGGAGAAAAAAUAUAAAAGUUAUUUGAUAGUG
Long non-coding RNA from Tribolium castaneum (red flour beetle), 405 nucleotides. RefSeq lists it as uncharacterized. The record is from RefSeq and is a predicted model, not a curated record. The transcript has 2 exons. Lineage: Eukaryota; Metazoa; Arthropoda; Insecta; Coleoptera; Tenebrionidae.